Molecule: ribosomal RNA, 253 nt
Filed under: uncultured bacterium
Lineage: Bacteria
Description: partial 16S ribosomal RNA
Rfam family: Bacterial small subunit ribosomal RNA
Source: RNAcentral
UACAGAGGGGGCAAGCGUUGUUCGGAAUUACUGGGCGGAAAGGGCGCGUAGGCGGCCUUCUAAGUCGAACGUGAAAUCCCCGGGCUCAACCCGGGAACUGCGUCCGAUACUGGGAGGCUUGAAUCCGGGAGAGGGAUGCGGAAUUCCAGGCGUAGCGGUGAAAUGCGUAGAUAUCUGGAGGAACACCGGUGGCGAAGGCGGCAUCCUGGACCGGCAUUGACGCUGAGGCGCGAAAGCCAGGGGAGCAAACGGG